UACGUAGGGUGCGAGCGUUAAUCGGAAUUACUGGGCGUAAAGAGUGCGUAGGUGGUUGAAUAAGUUAUCUGUGAAAAUCCCUGGGCUUAACCUGGGCAGGUCAGAUAAUACUGUUUGACUCGAGUAUGGGAGAGGGUAGUGGAAUUUCCGGUGUAGCGGUGAAAUGCGUAGAGAUCGGAAGGAACACCAGUGGCGAAGGCGGCUACCUGGCCUAAUACUGACACUGAGGCACGAAAGCGUGGGGAGCAAACAGG
This 254-nucleotide ribosomal RNA is filed under the name uncultured bacterium. RNAcentral describes it as "partial 16S ribosomal RNA". It matches the Rfam family "Bacterial small subunit ribosomal RNA", at positions 524 to 776 of the family's 1533-position model. The record is from RNAcentral.